This 460-nucleotide ribosomal RNA is filed under the name uncultured bacterium. Its description in RNAcentral is "partial 16S ribosomal RNA". It matches the Rfam family "Bacterial small subunit ribosomal RNA", at positions 338 to 795 of the family's 1533-position model. The record is from RNAcentral.
CCUACGGGAGGCAGCAGUGAGGAAUAUUGGUCAAUGGACGCAAGUCUGAACCAGCCAUGCCGCGUGCAGGAAGACGGCUCUAUGAGUUGUAAACUGCUUUUGUACGAGGGUAAACGCAGAUACGCGUAUCUGUCUGAAAGUAUCGUACCAAUACGGAUCGGCUAACUACGGGCCAGCCGCCGCGGUACUACGGAGGAUUCAAGCGUUAUCCGGAUUUAUUGGGUUUAAAGGGUGCGUAGGCGGUCGGAUAAGUUAGAGGUGAAAUCCCGAGGCUCAACUUCGGAAUUGCCUCUGAUACUGUACGGCUAGAGAGUAGUUGCGGUAGGCGGAAUGUAUGGUGUAGCGGUGAAAUGCUUAGAGAUCAUACAGAACACCGAUUGCGAAGGCAGCUUACCAGGCUACUUCUGACGUUGAGGCACGAAAGCGUGGGGAGCAAACAGGAUUAGAUACACGUGUAGUC